GAUGAGGGGCCCCCGCAAUGGGGAGCUGUGAACCUGGUCAGGGGCGAAAGUCAGCAGCCAUAAGCAGUGACCCCCAUGUGUGGUGGGCCUCUCAUCCAA
This 99-nucleotide signal recognition particle RNA is filed under the name Planctomycetota bacterium. Its description in RNAcentral is "Planctomycetes bacterium (sediment metagenome) signal recognition particle sRNA small type". It matches the Rfam family "Bacterial small signal recognition particle RNA". Rfam says of the family: The signal recognition particle (SRP) is a universally conserved ribonucleoprotein involved in the co-translational targeting of proteins to membranes. Archaeal SRP consists of a 7S RNA and homologues of the eukaryotic SRP19 and SRP54 proteins. Lineage: Bacteria; Pseudomonadati; Planctomycetota. The record is from RNAcentral.